UUCCAGACUCCUACGGGAGGCAGCAGUGGGGAAUAUUGCACAAUGGGGGAAACCCUGAUGCAGCGACGCCGCGUGAGCGAUGAAGUAUUUCGGUAUGUAAAGCUCUAUCAGCAGGGAAGAAGAUGACGGUACCUGACUAAGAAGCCCCGGCUAACUACGUGCCAGCAGCCGCGGUAAUACGUAGGGGGCAAGCGUUAUCCGGAUUUACUGGGUGUAAAGGGAGCGUAGACGGCGAUGCAAGCCAGAUGUGAAAGCCCGGGGCUCAACCCCGGGACUGCAUUUGGAACUGUGUGGCUGGAGUGUCGGAGAGGCAGGCGGAAUUCCUAGUGUAGCGGUGAAAUGCGUAGAUAUUAGGAGGAACACCAGUGGCGAAGGCGGCCUGCUGGACGAUGACUGACGUUGAGGCUCGAAAGCGUGGGGAGCAAACAGGAUUAGAUACCCGCGUA
RNAcentral lists this ribosomal RNA (446 nucleotides) under uncultured bacterium. RNAcentral's name for it is "bacterial SSU rRNA". It matches the Rfam family "Bacterial small subunit ribosomal RNA", at positions 329 to 792 of the family's 1533-position model. The record is from RNAcentral.